AUUGAACGCUGGCGGAAUGCUUUACACACGCAAGUCGAACGGCAGCACGGACUUCGGUCUGGUGGCGAGUGGCGAACGGGUGAGUAAUGUAUCGGAACGUGCCCAGUCGUGGGGGAUAACGUAGUGAAAAUUACGCUAAUACCGCAUACGAUCUAUGGAUGAAAGCGGGGGAUCGCAAGACCUCGCGCGAUUGGAGCGGCCGAUAUCAGAUUAGGUAGUUGGUGGGGUAAAGGCCCACCAAGCCAACGAUCUGUAGCUGGUCUGAGAGGACGACCAGCCAGACUGGAACUGAGGCACGGUCCAGCCUCCGACGGGAGGCAGCAGUGGGGAAUUUUGGACAAUGGGCGAAAGCCUGAUCCAGCCAUUCCGCGUGCAGGAUGAAGGCCCUCGGGUUGUAAACUGCUUUUGUACAGAACGAAAAGGUUUCUACUAAUACUAGGAGCUCAUGACGGUACUGUAAGAAUAAGCACCGGCUAACUACGUGCCAGCCGCCGCCGUAA
This 500-nucleotide ribosomal RNA is filed under the name uncultured bacterium. RNAcentral describes it as "partial 16S ribosomal RNA". It matches the Rfam family "Bacterial small subunit ribosomal RNA", at positions 30 to 523 of the family's 1533-position model. The record is from RNAcentral.